This 289-nucleotide long non-coding RNA is filed under the name Manihot esculenta (cassava). RNAcentral describes it as "long non-coding RNA (MESC_LNC004046)". The record is from RNAcentral. Lineage: Eukaryota; Viridiplantae; Streptophyta; Magnoliopsida; Malpighiales; Euphorbiaceae.
GAGUUACUUAUAUGUUGCGAUAUGUGUUGUUAUUCAGAGGUAAAAUGCGAGGAACUUGUCAAUCAGCUCGAUUGACUGGAGUCCCACCAGAUAGUGAGAGAAUAGAUGCUCGUCCUCCUGCAUUGCCAAGGGCAAGGUCUCAAAGAUCUAGCAGGGAAGGUCCAUCAAUAGACCCUAGAAGGUCUGUAGACGAGAGCAGAAGCGGUACAGUUAGAGGAGGAAGAUCAGAGGAAGUGAGGGAGGCUAUGGAGAUUGAUCAGUCCAUAGAUGAAAGCAUGAGUGUAGGUAG